UAAAAAUGCCAGAGAUCUCCUUAUGAGG
Molecule: non-coding RNA, 28 nt
Filed under: Rattus norvegicus (Norway rat)
Lineage: Eukaryota; Metazoa; Chordata; Mammalia; Rodentia; Muridae
Source: RNAcentral